RNAcentral lists this ribosomal RNA (245 nucleotides) under uncultured bacterium. RNAcentral describes it as "partial 16S ribosomal RNA". It matches the Rfam family "Bacterial small subunit ribosomal RNA", at positions 524 to 768 of the family's 1533-position model. The record is from RNAcentral.
GACGGAGGGUGCAAGCGUUGUUCGGAUUGACUGGGCGUAAAGGGCGUGUAGGCGGUCGGCCAAGUCUGCUGUGAAAGCCCGGGGCUCAGCUCCGGAAGUGCGGCGGAAACUAGUCGGCUGGAGCGCGGUAGAGGAGGGUGGAAUUCCUGGUGUAGCGGUGAAAUGCGUAGAUAUCAGGAGGAACACCGGCGGCGAAGGCGGCCCUCUGGACCGUUGCUGACGCUGAGACGCGAAAGCGUGGGGAG